GCUUAUGUAAAAUCCUGGAGAAUCUUUGGCCCCUGUAAAUAGUGGUCACUUGCGAUGGUCUUUUAUAUAGUUGCAUUUUAGACACCAUUUUAAACAAUAAAUGUCAACACAAAAACAUUAGUUUUUUAACUGUACAAUUUGAUUACAGAGUUUACAGUUUGUAGUUAAUAGAAUUAGAUUAGAGAAAAUAAUAUUACUAUUCUUACUAGCUUCAUAAUGAGUACAAUCUUUCUUUUAGCAGUAUUAUUUGUACAAGUUUACUGUGAUACUAACUUUAAUAACAUUAAUUUACCUGAAGACCAUCUAGCCUACUACUUCCGAAACUUUCCAAAGGUAGCUGACCAAUGUUCCCGAAGCAACAGUUGUUCGUUUAAGAAGUAUUUAGAUAAGGACGUUUGUUGGGGAUACGAGUACGAUUGUGACUGGAGCAAACAGUAUUUAAAACCAUAUUGUCCAGGGGAUCAUAAGGGUUGGGUGAAAACGAAACAUGCUCAAGAGACUACAUUUCAUGCCCAAGCUGAUUUUGGCUAUGUUAAGCAACAAUUGCGAGAAAUGAAGUUGGUUUGUGAACCGCUCUUCCAAGACGAUAGUUCUUUGGAAUGUUCUGAACAUCUGCGUUUCUGUAGAGGCAGAAAUUUAAUGAUAAAUUUUACGAAGUUAGCGAAUAGGGAAGAACCAAUUAGGUAUAAGAUGGAUGUUUUGGGUGAAGGUGAUAUCGGGGGUUACUGUAAUUUGAGGCAAGAUUGGUUGGACGAACAGGCUGAUCAGAUUAGCCCGUUGCAGAGUUGGGGACCUGAGUUACGGUAUUUUAAACAGUUGGACCGUAGACCAAUUAUCGAAGGAGACUGUGAUGUAGUUAUAGACAAGCCAACUUUUAUUUUAAAAAUAGAUGCAACAGUAAAUAUGUAUCACCACUUCUGUGAUUUCUUCAAUUUGUAUGCUUCCUUGCAUUUAAACGCUACACAAGAGGAUGCAUUUUCCACAAACGUCCAUAUCUUGAUAUGGGAGAGCUUUACAUACAGAUCAGCUUUUCAAGAUACUUGGGACGCAUUCACAGAUCACCAGUUAUGGGAUUUAAAAACAUUCAAAGGUAAAACGGUCUGUUUUAAGAAUGUUGUAUUCCCUCUUCUACCAAGGAUGAUUUAUGGUCUGUAUUAUAACACCCCUAUCAUUUAUGGCUGUGAAAAGAGUGGACUAGUUGAUGCUUUUUCUAAGCAUGUUUUACAUAGGUUAAGAAUACCUGAGUAUACAAGGACCAACAAAAAAAUUCGUAUUACAUUUUUAUCAAGAGAAACAAAAUUUAGAAGAAUUUUAAACGAGAGGGAACUAGUAGAUGCCUUACAACAAGACGAAAAUUAUGAUGUUCAGUUAGUAGUGUUUAGCAGAGACGUGCCUUUUAAGAAGCAGUUGGAGAUUGCUAGGAAUUCGGACGUCUUUGUGGGAAUCCAUGGGGCUGGUUUGACCCAUUUGCUGUUUCUGCCAGAGUGGGCCGCUGUAUUUGAGGUAUAUAAUUGUCAGGACAGUAAUUGUUAUUUUGAUUUGGCUCGAUUGAAAGGUGUUAAGUACCUCACUUGGGAGGACACUAAUAAAUUGACUAGUAUAACUGAGGGUUCUUAUUCCGGAGGUUCGCCUGCAAAGUUUGUUAAUUACAAAAUGGAUACGACAGAAUUUGUCAGGAUUGUAAAUAAAGCUGCUGAACAUGUUAGAAGUCAUCCAAAGUUUCAGGAGCACCUCGAGCAUAGCCCAGCAGAUACAGAAGAUCUCUCAAAUGUUACAGAUACAGACAGACUUCACGAAGAACUUUAACAUAAGGUUCACCCAGCUGUUCAACUUGUUCCUGAAGACUUUUAACCUCAGAUUCUUCAUUUCAAUGAACGUCUUCAUGAGCAAGUUAGAGUUUAAUCUUCGCGACAUUCAACAACUACAUAAUUUGUGACGUAUUGCAACUUCUCUUUCCUUUUAUCAGCUUAUUCAUGAGAAUCUUUAACUUCAAGUCAGCUCACUAGGCAACUUUUCUACUAAGAAUAAUAACUUCAUAUUUAUCUGACAGUUGAAUGUCUACUCGUACAUGCACGAUUUAUGCCUGGUUGCACCAACAGAUCUUAGGCUCCAGCUUAGCCCAGCUCAGCUUAUACUUUAAUGGUGGGGCCACACUAGCGUCUAAUACCGUUAAUUAUUUGCAUUGUAAAUAUGUCAAAUAAUGCGAUAAUUAACGGCAUUAGGCGCUAGUGUGGCCCUAUCAUAAGGAUUUACAUUUAUAUUUAAGCUUAAGGUAAGUCUUAAGCUUAAUAUCUGUUGGUGCAACCAGGCAUUAAACUUGAUUUUCAUAUUUCUUAUUGUUUUGACAAAGUUUAUGACGAACUGGAAGAAUUUAUCUUCAAGUUCAGCACAUCUUAUAGUCUCCAGUGCACCAUCCUUUUUUGAAAGUGAUUACAAAAGUCUUAAAAAUGGUUUUAACUGCUUCAUUUGAGCGAGUCAACCACUUUCUGAAAAUUUUCAGAGUGCAGGUUGGACGCUUUUACGCAAGCACAACACAUAAAGGACAUCGCACACAUCUUAUGGAAAAUACAAUGUCACUCAAAUGAAAUAAAAUUUACAUGAAUAGAUGCGUCCUGAAAUUUCAAUAAUUUGAUACCAUUGCGCCAACUCUGUAUUUUGAUUAACGUAAAUUGAUAAAUCUAAAAUCGAAUAGGAAUUGUGGAAAUAGGAAAAGUGUGUCAAAGAGAGAAAAAAGAUCUUGUGAUUCGCUUACUCCAUAAAUCUUUCUCGAGGGAUUAAGGCAGAGGCUUACUCUUAUCUUUUCCUAUUAUUAUUGAUAAUAAAGUAGGUAUAAUUUGGUUAAUUGUACCGCCUCUAAUCGGCUUAAGCUAGUGGUGAAUAGACUGUAUUCAAUAGCUUCUAGACUAAUAUUAUUUAUGAAUGCCAGUUUUAUGGACUUCAAAAUGCGAUUUCGAUAAACUAAUUACAAUUAACGCACUAAUUAAGCAAAAUUCAGAGUAGGCGCAAUGAUAUAAAAAUUAUUGAAAUUUCAGGACGCAUCUAUUCAUGUAAAUUUUAUUUCAUCUGAGUGACAUUAUAUUUUCCAUAAGAUGUGUGCGGUGUCCUUUGCAGCUCUAGCGUGGUUAUGUUUUGUUAUUGCAAAACUAUAAUUUUUAAUUUUAACAAAAGAUUACACGUUAAAAUAAAAUAAAUUAUUUUUGUCGGACAAUAAAGAGGCAGCGAUCGUAGAGUCCGACACCUGCAAGAUGUCACUCUAGCGCGGUAAAGUUUUGUUAUUACUUUAAUUAAUCUUUUGUAAUUAUUUAUAUGUACUUUUAAUUAAAAGAGUUUUGUAAGAACAAACAAAACUCUACCGCAUACCGCGCUAGAGUGACAUCUUGCAGUGCGCUUAUUCUUGAAUCGGGAGAAAAUUUUACUCACCACUAAGCUAACUCGCUUUUCUACUCCUUCAUAAUUUCUCUCGAUUUUUAAAAAGCUGUAUUCUUGAUAGGGGGAGUAGAAAGCGAGAAGAGAAACUGCGAACAGUGUUGCCGGCUGUUUAUCGAAAGUUUCAACCAAUCACAAGAGUUAAUUCUUGGCAAAUGACAUGGACAUGAUACCGUCAGUGACCAAGGUUAAUAGAUUAUUGCAUAAUAGACUAUCUAUGAACCUUGGUCAGUGACAGGUGACAGCAAAAUUAAGGCGAACGGGUGAAUUAAGGUGAACGGGUGAAUACUUAUUUGAUGAGUUGUAUUUGGUUAAGUAGCGGGAUGUGUAAAUAUUUAAGUUCUUGUAAAUGUUUAUAUUGUAUUAACGACUAAUUAUAGAGAUGUUUUUUGUUCUUUUUGAGUAAUUUAGAUAGGUACUAAUGCUAUGGGUACAUAAUUCGCAAAUAUUUUACGUGUAUCCCUACUUUUUCUGUCUUUACACGGCAAAUUACGUGUAGUAAAAUUCACACUGGUAUGGAUAUGUAAACAGUACUAGAAUGUCAUU
Molecule: unclassified non-coding RNA, 3972 nt
Filed under: Diabrotica virgifera virgifera (western corn rootworm)
Lineage: Eukaryota; Metazoa; Arthropoda; Insecta; Coleoptera; Chrysomelidae
Description: eGF domain-specific O-linked N-acetylglucosamine transferase
Source: RNAcentral